RNAcentral lists this ribosomal RNA (300 nucleotides) under uncultured bacterium. RNAcentral's name for it is "bacterial SSU rRNA". It matches the Rfam family "Bacterial small subunit ribosomal RNA", at positions 496 to 795 of the family's 1533-position model. The record is from RNAcentral.
GGUAAAUGGGGGCAAGCAGCGGGGGUAAUUGGUGGGGGUCAAGGGUGGACCGGAAUUAUUUGGCGUAAGUAGCGUGUAGGCGGCCCGAUGAGUCCGCUGUGAAAGGCCAGGGCUCAACCAGGGAAUGCCGGUGGAUACUGUCGGGCUAGAGGCCGGAAGGGGCGAGUGGAAUUCCUGGUGUAGCGGUGAAAUGCGCAGAUAUCAGGAGGAACACCAAUGGCGAAGGCAGCUCGCUGGGACGUGACUGACGCUGAGACGCGAAAGCGUGGGGAGCAAACAGGAUUAGAUACCCCGGUAGUC